Molecule: ribosomal RNA, 527 nt
Filed under: uncultured bacterium
Lineage: Bacteria
Description: bacterial SSU rRNA
Rfam family: Bacterial small subunit ribosomal RNA
Source: RNAcentral
AAUAGAUACCCCGGUAGUCCACGCCGUAAACGAUGUCGACUUGGAGGUUGUUCCCUUGAGGAGUGGCUUCCGGAGCUAACGCGUUAAGUCGACCGCCUGGGGAGUACGGCCGCAAGGUUAAAACUCAAAUGAAUUGACGGGGGCCCGCACAAGCGGUGGAGCAUGUGGUUUAAUUCGAUGCAACGCGAAGAACCUUACCUACUCUUGACAUCCACGGAACUUAGCAGAGAUGCUUUGGUGCCUUCGGGAACCGUGAGACAGGUGCUGCAUGGCUGUCGUCAGCUCGUGUUGUGAAAUGUUGGGUUAAGUCCCGCAACGAGCGCAACCCUUAUCCUUUGUUGCCAGCGGUUAGGCCGGGAACUCAAAGGAGACUGCCAGUGAUAAACUGGAGGAAGGUGGGGAUGACGUCAAGUCAUCAUGGCCCUUACGAGUAGGGCUACACACGUGCUACAAUGGCGCAUACAAAGAGAAGCGACCUCGCGAGAGCAAGCGGACCUCAUAAAGUGCGUCGUAGUCCGGAUUGGAGU